AUUUGGCAAGGAAUAUUGAUAAUCUUUGUGAAGUUUCAUUUAUUUUGCUGCAUGUGAUGUAAGAAAUCAAGAGAGUUUUUAUACUUUGUCCUGAGCAAUUUUCUCUAACUGUGUAAAUAAGUUCGCAGCUCCAAACAGAGCUGCGAUCGCAUUCUGGAUUUCAUCAAAAAGUACAAUACUACAACCCCAAGGUAGGAGGUAUUUAAAAUGUCAAACUUCGGAUUUGGUACGAAGUUUGCCCUCCGUAUGUUCAACAAUUAGAUUAAAACUACUCGGCUGACAUCGAAAAACCAUCUUUUCUGUUCGAGCCAUUGGACGAAAUAGUAGUGCGCGGCGUGAUAAAUUCUGAAUUUUCUCCGGGUGGGAGCGUUGCCAAAAUGGCGUUUAAAUAGUUUAUUAACUCAAUUAUGUGUUUUGUAUAGAAAAAUUCCUAGGUGCUAAAAAGUUAAAACUUAAAAAUAGUACGGCAGUUAAAAUAGUACGGCGAAGAAAAUAGUACGGUUGGUGUAAAUUAUCACUAAAUAUUGUAAAUAGUUAUAUAAUAAGUGUUUCUAUUGUAGUACGUCAAAAAUCGAGUUCGCUAUUGUUAAGAAUUGCUAUUGUGCUAAAAUCUUUAUUGUGAUCAGCAAAAUCGGAAAAAGGUCCUUAUCAAGGGCCUUUUUCUUUUCCAUCAUUCCGGAACUAGUUCCGGGUAUUUCCGCAGGAAUCUCCGGUGUCAUCAAGGUUGGCUAUUUUGCGCACUCGAUUGGAAAACCACUAGCCAUUGUGGUCGUCCGACCCGUUAGAAGUUCGACAGAAAAGUUCCCAGCCAACCGAUAGGAGUAUUAGUGUCGGCCAUUUUCUACGGCAUCCAGACAAUUGAAAGCCGUGCCCCACAAUACUCCAUCGUUGAGCCGCAAUACCGUGAUUCCCAGACCUGUGACUGCAAGAUCGCCGCUUUGAACCGACACCCUCUGUAAGCCAUCCCGUUCAUCAACGCUUGGGCCCCGCCGGCCCGUUUGUCAAGUUUCGGAGUAGCAGCUCCCCCGCUAGACCGUCGCAAUCCGCACCAUUCAUCAACGUUGCGGCACCGGCGGCCAUUUUGCUAGGAUAGCAGCGUCGGAGCAUCCGCUCACCUGCUAGGCACCCACAAGACACCACAUUCCGUCAACCCACCCUGCAACCACCUCUGCAUGCAUCAAAGCGACCAGGAUCCGCACCAAGGCAUGACGAUGCCCUCGGCAAGUACUCCCUUAGAAAUUGUGACGUCAGAUAGGGCCCUAUUGGGCAAAUAAAACCAAUAAUGUAUUAA
This 1291-nucleotide long non-coding RNA is filed under the name Aedes aegypti (yellow fever mosquito). RNAcentral describes it as "lncRNA AAEL025409". The record is from RNAcentral. Lineage: Eukaryota; Metazoa; Arthropoda; Insecta; Diptera; Culicidae.